AUAGCACUUAAACUAUUGAGAAUGGAGGAUCCCAGGACAACAUUUAAAAUGACAGCUAAUGUCUGUGGAAACCCUGGGCGUUUAGGAGUGGCCUAAAGCUAGAGUUCUCUUUGAUUACGGGCACCACUUUCAGAUAAAAACAUAGACCUGAAUGGCAUCAUCCAGUAUCCAAGGAAACCAUUUCUUACAGUACCCUGGAACAUAAUUCACCAUGGCCAGGAUGAAUCUGCUGUACACAGGAGUGAUCCUUCUAACCUGCCAUGUCCAUAGUUAUGUGAGAAUCUAGGAUGGAGCUGAAAGAACUGUAUCUUCCUGGAUCAUACCCAAAAGGUCUCUAAGUGCACUGAUGACAGGAAAAUCUUCAGUGGUUCCAGAGACAAGCUGCUGGAAAUCCUGCACAUUUAUUUUCUAGAAGGAAAUGAGCUGAUGAGGAAUAAUCCCUUCAGAGAUCCUCCCUUUAAAAAACCUUAAAGGACUCCAAAUUAAAGCAUAGCCAUUUCUGGGACCCUAAAGUGACUCAAAAAAAGGAAACAUCACUUACUUAAUGUUAGGUGAAUUUCAAAAGCCUUAAUAAGGGGAGAGCAAAGGUAGGGAGAAAGAUGGUGAAUAAAUUGUGAGAACCUACCAAGUAAAGAAAUAUCUUUUAAAUUCCACGCAUCAUGUUUUAUUUCACUUUGUAUUUCAAUUAAAAAAGGAAAAAUAUGCAUUUUAAAAAGAUAUAUUUUUUGCUAUUAAUAUUAGCACUUAAUGUCUGAGUACAGAUCCAUCAUUCAUUAGGUCUACAGUAGCCCACAGCCCUAAUUUACAAAUUCAUAAUCACAAGUCAGAUCAACUCAAUUGCUCAAGGCUGUGUAUUUGCAAGUUAGAGUAUACACUGCAAAUUUCCUGUCUUUGGGCCGGUAUACUGAGCAAUGGUACUUUUUAAAAAGAAUUUGCUCAUAUCUUAGAUUUAACAGAGUUGAAAAUGUUUAACCAAUAUCACUCAUGUAAUAUAAAGUGUAAAUUUAAGCAGUGUUCUAGAAAAUUCAAGGCAAAGUAGUUUAAACCAUUUGGCUCUUCCUAGAGGUUCUGAUUUUUUUUUUUUUAACCUGAAAAAGUAGGUAAUUACUCGAUAGCCUUAGCUCUAAAAUAUAUAUGACAGGUUAUUUUUAUUUGUUUGGUUUUCAGAAAUCAUAUCCAUGUUUUCUACUCUCUGUAGUCUUAGCAAAAUGAAUCAAAGCCACUCUGUAUCCAAAGGUAACACUAUGGUUGUCUUUUUUUUUUUUUUUUUUUUUUUUUUUUAACAUUGCAGGCUUUACCUCAAGUGCUAUGCAGUAAAUUUACAGGGAAAGAAAUAUUUUAUUAAAUUAUAACUGAGAGGAGCGGAUUUUUUUUUUAUAUAGCAAACAAAAAAUUCCUUCAUGAAAGGUUAUAAAACCGAUAUUAUUUACCAGAGAGACCUUUCCUGUCUCCCAGGUAAACACUUACAGUGUGUAGACUUGUGUAAAUACAUAUUUAGGAGUGGCUAAAUAUGGCGAGGUAUUUUUAAAGCCAUAUUUACAAAGCUGAAUACAUAUAUUGGCAUUUUGGAAUGUGUAAGCUGGGCAUGCUGCUCUGCUGUCUAUUCAGAAUUCUAGCAGGACGCUGCUAGAUACACCUCAGAUAUGGGGACCGAAUUUCAAAACAUUCAUCUUUAAUCAGAAUUACUAAAGACAGGUCCUUAAAUCAUUUCAAAAGGGUGAAAAUUUUCAACUAAUGGAGUUCAAGACUUUCUCACCAGUUUGACUUGAGGAAAACUGUUUCAGAAAUGCAGGCGUCAUUCAUGGAAAUAAAAUUUCUUUUCUG
This 1824-nucleotide long non-coding RNA is filed under the name Sus scrofa (pig). Its description in RNAcentral is "lncRNA (ENSSSCG00060054270.1)". Lineage: Eukaryota; Metazoa; Chordata; Mammalia; Artiodactyla; Suidae. The record is from RNAcentral.